RNAcentral lists this ribosomal RNA (264 nucleotides) under uncultured bacterium. Its description in RNAcentral is "partial 16S ribosomal RNA". It matches the Rfam family "Bacterial small subunit ribosomal RNA", at positions 630 to 892 of the family's 1533-position model. The record is from RNAcentral.
AAACUGGGUCCCUUGAGGGCAGGAGAGGGCAGUAGAAUUCCUGGUGUAGCGGUGAAAUGCGUAGAAAUCAGGAGGAAUACCAGUGGCGAAGGCGACUGCCUGGACUGACCCUGACGCUGAGGUGCGAAAGCGUGGGUAGCAAACAGGAUUAGAUACCCUGGUAGUCCACGCCGUAAACGAUGGAUACUAGGUGUGGGAGGUAUCGACCCCUUCCGUGCCGCAGCUAACGCAAUAAGUAUCCCGCCUGGGGAGUACGGUCGCAAG